This 377-nucleotide ribosomal RNA is filed under the name uncultured bacterium. RNAcentral's name for it is "bacterial SSU rRNA". It matches the Rfam family "Bacterial small subunit ribosomal RNA", at positions 523 to 898 of the family's 1533-position model. The record is from RNAcentral.
AUACGUAGGGGGCGAGCGUUGUCCGGAAUUACUGGGUGUAAAGGGCGUGUAGGCGGGGAUGCAAGUUAUCGGUAAAAACCCGGGGCUUAACCUCGGGCUUGCCGGUAAAACUGUGUCUCUUGAGUAUAGGAGAGGGAAGUGGAAUUCCCGGAGUAGCGGUGAAAUGCGUAGAUACCGGGAAGAACACCAGUGGCGAAGGCGACUUCCUGGCCUGUUACUGACGCUGAGGCGCGAAAGCUAGGGUAGCGAACGGGAUUAGAUACCCCGGUAGUCCUAGCUGUAAACGAUGGUCACUAGGUGUGGGUGGUGGUCAAGCCAUCCGUGCCGGAGCUAACGCAAUAAGUGACCCACCUGGGGAGUACGGCCGCAAGGUUGAA